This 1356-nucleotide long non-coding RNA is filed under the name Homo sapiens (human). RNAcentral's name for it is "PCBP1 antisense RNA 1". The record is from RNAcentral. Lineage: Eukaryota; Metazoa; Chordata; Mammalia; Primates; Hominidae.
GGUUAUUUGUUUUCUUCCUACUGAGUUGUUUGAGUUUCUUAUCUACACUUUAGAUCAUAACAACCCCUUCUCAGAUACAUGGUUUGCAAAUGUAUUCUCUCACUCUGUGGAGUCUCACUCUGUAGCCCAAGCUGGAGUGGCGUGAUCUCGACUCACUGCAACCUCCGCCUCCUGGGAUCAAGUGAUUCUCGUGCCUCAGCCUCCUGAGUAGCCGGGACUACAGAUGUCUGUCCCGGGCUCCAGUUUUGUGGUUCCACCUGAGACCUUUCCACCUAUAUGCUUUACAGGUCACAGAAUUUUCCACACUCCUUGACAGAGGUGCUUAACCCUUAUCCAUCAGCAUUCUCAGACAGCACCUCCGGUUAGGGACAGUAUCUGACCGUCCGACAUCCCUGCAGCCCCCAUGUGUCACACAGACUCAGCCUCAGGUAGAUGGUUUCCGUAGAUGGUGGCUUUCUUUGGACCCUUGACAUCAACCAGUUACUAUUUGGUCUAGGGGUCUCACCAACGCUGCUCAUCUAGCAGGGCCACACAUAACAAAUAGAAGCAGAGCAAGCCCUGGAACUCCUGCCUGACAGUGACACGACGACAGAAACAUCUUACCAGUCAGAGGACCAUGAGAAAUAGAUUCAAGGAGCAUUCCACGUGCAAGUGAGUCUUGGCCCCAUCUGCCUUUGGAUUUUAGCCGUGAACUGGAAGGUAUUGGAAAGAAGACCCUCAGAAAUAGCUUAAUCAAAAUCCCUGCGUCUGAACCAAGUGCCUUAUUUCUCUGUGGGCCUCAAGCUUCGCUGACAUCUGUGGAGCACACUGUCCUAACAGGAGUGCUGUCUGAUUUCCCAACGCUCUGCAAAACAAACAGCCUGGAAGGGUGGCUGGUGGAAGGUGGUUUUUAGAGAGAGACUUGUAGAUAACAGGAAAGUGAAGGCUGUAAGGAAGGUUGUAAUUAAACAGCACAUGGAAACACAAUCACAUUAUUGUCCCAUUCCAUAGGGAUAAUGAUGACCACUUCAGUGGGAAAAGGAGAGGUUUUAAGUCAUUAGGGACUAUGGGCCACCUUUUAGGAAGAUUUAUUUUCAAAGGUUAAAAUAGUGUUUUGGCAAUUCAAGUUUCAUUUUCAGAAAAUGUAAUUGAUGGGAACCUCAGUGACUCUGGAUGAAUAAGAUGCUGUUGAGUGGCUCUGACUUGGGCCAGCCGUGCUUCUCACAGGACCUUGGAGACCAAGGUCACUGUGAUCUCAGGUUCAGGGGGCAAGUCCUCUCCACACAGCCCUAGUUGGCCUCACAGCUGAAAAUGUCUCCCUUACUGUUGGACUCCUUUGUUCACCCACAUGAGUUUGUGAAUAAAUCCUUUCCAGUC